CUUGAAUUAAUCAAGAAGUUAUUGGUUGAUUCAGAAAUAGUAUCACGUGACGUUCUACAUGUAUAUUGUCAUUGAUAAAGAAGACAAGAUUUACAAUUUUACAUUAAAUAAUUAGAAAACAUAAAAAGACAUAAGAAUUUAUGAUUAACUUGAAGCAUAGUAUGUAGUGUCCAGGACUAAUCAAUAAUUUUUCGAAUUAAUGGCUCCAACAAUCCAUUGUUGAUCGUACCCUGGGCAGUAAAUAACUUGUCAUUCAUGUGAGCCAUGUGAAUAUCAACGGCUAAAAAGUCACAAAAUGACCGUUAGCAAUGCUCUGCAACUCUGUUAACGGAGAAAUGAUCAUGGGUGCUCAACGGAGGAAAAAGAUCACCUAAUCCAGAGCACCAAGAAGAUCAAAAGCACUACUGAUCACGAAGAUGCUGUCAUGGGUUAAGCUGUGUCACAGGAAACCAACAACGGUGACCUCAGUUCUAAACCUCAAAGCCCUAAAGCCAUGGCGGAGGACAAAGACUCUCAAAAUGGGGAACCUACUAUUGCUGAUAACCAAGCAACUGCUGAGGUUUUUGAAGCCCCAAAAUCUUUCAAACAAGCCCUCAUGCGUUCAAGAUUCAACAAAACUGUGAAUGAAAAGAACUUCGAUUGCGAUGUGGAGUCUCUUUCCUCUGAUGAGGAUGAACCAACAAUCACAGAUCUAUUUGAGAAAGAGAAUGAGGCUAUGGCGAAGGAGUGAGAUGGAUUCUCCAAAGUCACGAUCCCAACCAACUUGUUGAAGAAAGUCAAAGAACCGUGGAGGAAAUGUUUGAUUGUACGACUUUUGGGGAAAAUUAUAGGCUAUAAGUUGUUUAUGGCCAAAGUCACAAAUAUUUGGGGUCUUCAAGGCAAUUUGGAAGUCCUAGAUAUUGGACAUGGUUUUUUUAUCGUUAAAUUUGAUAUUAUAGAAGAUUAUACUAAGGUAAUCACGGGCAAACCAUGGGUAGCCCUAGAUCAUUUUGUAACUGUUAAAAGAUGGCAACAAGAUUUUAAAUCGGAUAAGGUGGAGAAGGAUACUACAGCAAUGUGGGUGAGGUUUCCUAAUCUGCCCAUAGAAUACUAUAAUGAGAAAGUUCUACUUCACAUGGCGAAGGUGUUAGGAACUCCACUAAAGAUUGACAUCAACACAGCCAUGGUAGCAAGAAGAGGAUAUGCUCGGGUUUACGUUAAAAUAGACCUUCGCAAGCCACUAAUCUCCCAAAUCGCGAUAGGUAAAUACGUAUAUAAUGUUGAAUAUGAACAUUUGCACUUAUUUUGCUUUUCCUGUGGCAGGGUAGGUGUAACGACCCCAAAAUCCGUAUCAGAAAUUGUCUUUAUGCCCUUGUGGGUUAAUGCCUUUUAAUUUAAUGAUAUCUGUUCUGACCGAGGAAUUAUCUGCUGAGCUACGACUUUAGAAUUGAAAUUACCGACGUUUACGGGUUCAAAAAUCAAAAUUGAGUACUUGGGUAUGUUAAUGGGAAUUUUUAGAACUAUUUGAAAAAAUUAAUUGGAAAUCUAAUUUGUCUGAUUUGUUAAAGCACGUUUGGGUGGUUUAUUUUGUACUGCAAAUUGAAGGCCUUAGAGGCUUCAGAAACCAGAACAGAAGACAUAUUUAUGAUCAGCACAAUUUUUAGAAUCACCUGAGAAGUUUAAUUGAAAUUUGAUUUCGUGCGAUUCGUAAGGCCGCGUUUGGCUCGCCCUAUUGUGUUAAACUUAUAUGUGUGUAUAUUUUAAUGUAUAUAUGUAUGUGAGAGGAGGAGUUGAACUCAUCUCUUAGAGCCCAAAAAUAUCUGGAGGAGGAGAGAGGAUGAUACGUGAGAGAGAGGGGGGGGAGAGAGAACUCAAAGAGAAGAAAUGGAAGAAGACAUUAAAGACUUGGCUUGAAUUCAUCAUAGUUAUGCAAAAACAAGUGAUGGAAAAGGUUUAAGGUCGAGACGAGGACAUCGUCCCAUUACUACCGGGAACUGUUCAUUGUGAGCCAUCGGAGAUUGACACUAGAGCUGGACUGAGGUUCACCUGUCUGCCAAGUCACCUGGGGUAUGCCUCCGUGUGGAGGCCUUAAUUUGUGUUGGGAGUCAUAUAAAUUAUUAAGUCUUAUGUAAGUAUGUGUGAGAUCUAUAUAAAUUCUAUGAUUGUACAUGUACAUAUGGGAGUGUAUUUAAAUGCUUAAAUCUAAUUAAGCCAUCAUGUAUGCACAAGCUCAAUGGAUGUUGUCUUUUAUUAA
Molecule: non-coding RNA, 2233 nt
Organism: Camellia sinensis
Lineage: Eukaryota; Viridiplantae; Streptophyta; Magnoliopsida; Ericales; Theaceae
Source: RefSeq, a predicted model, not a curated record